AUUGAACGCUGGCGGAAUGCUUUACACAUGCAAGUCGAGCGGCAGCGCGGGGGCAACCCUGGCGGCGAGCGGCGAACGGGUGAGUAAUACAUCGGAACGUGUCCUUGAGUGGGGGAUAGCUCGGCGAAAGCCGGAUUAAUACUGCAUAAGCUCUGCGGAGGAAAGCGGGGGACUGGUAACGGCCUCGCGCUGUUGGAGCGGCCGAUGUCGGAUUAGCUAGUUGGUGGGGAAAAGGCCCACCAAGGCGACGAUCCGUAGCUGGUCUGAGAGGAUGAUCAGCCACACUGGAACUGAGACACGGUCCAGACUCCUACGGGA
RNAcentral lists this ribosomal RNA (318 nucleotides) under uncultured bacterium. RNAcentral describes it as "bacterial SSU rRNA". It matches the Rfam family "Bacterial small subunit ribosomal RNA", at positions 29 to 346 of the family's 1533-position model. The record is from RNAcentral.